AAAAUUUGCAGGCGAAAAGCUCGCACAUUCUGGACAAACGUGAACUGUUACUGCAAUCGCCGGCUAAGGCAGGCUCUAAAAUACAUAUUUGAAAUUGAAAAAAUGGGACACUAUCAGUGUAGUCGUAACUAAAAUGCCACUGAAAAACCUAAGGUUAUGCAAUCAUGUAACGGGUAAUUGUAAACCUCAUGUAGACUGUCUGCCAUACAUCAACCUGGACGAGAAUACCUAAUUUAGGUGCUGGAAGUGUUGG
This 253-nucleotide small RNA is filed under the name Drosophila mojavensis. Its description in RNAcentral is "GI25689". The record is from RNAcentral. Lineage: Eukaryota; Metazoa; Arthropoda; Insecta; Diptera; Drosophilidae.